RNAcentral lists this long non-coding RNA (3497 nucleotides) under Sorghum bicolor (sorghum). Its description in RNAcentral is "long non-coding RNA (SBIC_LNC015276)". Lineage: Eukaryota; Viridiplantae; Streptophyta; Magnoliopsida; Poales; Poaceae. The record is from RNAcentral.
GUGGAGACAGGUGGAGGUAGUGGGAUAUAUGUCGCUGUCAGCUUGCUCCGAUUACCAUUACAUCGGAUGCUUUGAUUGCGGUGGGUGGUGUGGAGUGGAGUGGAUCAGAACCUGAAUCCAAGCGCAGCAAGAAAGGAUGGGAUUGGGAUGGCGGGUAUGGAGGAGCUGCUGACGCUGCUGUUCAACGCGCUGCUGCUGGUGUUCGUGGUGAAGCUCUUGCUGGCCUUGUUCAACACCAAGAUCAUCGUCAUCCUCCUCUACAUCCUCGUCCUCCUCUUCGCCAUGCUCCUCUCCGGCAGAUUUCCCGGUUGAUAUUCCAUAUCCAGGUAUCCACGCCAACAUCUUUCUCCUCUUUUUUCAGUUGUUCUUGUUUGUAUAUUUGGCAUAGAAUGAAUGAGUGGAGUGGAGCCACCACUUGAUAUAGGAGUACUCCUAUUGAUUGAUUUAUGGGUUGGAUUGGAUAUAAAGGGUGUUAGUAUUGAUUUAUCUAUGGGUUGAGUUGGAUUGGAUUGGAUUGGAUUAAAAAAAGAGAGAGAGGUGGACGAGGAGGAGGAAGAAGAGAAAAGGAACGCCGCCGCCGAUGGAAUGGGAUUGGGAACCCCUCCCAGUCCCAUAAGGGAGGCGGAGACCUUUGUUCCCCUGUGCCUGCCUGUCUCUGUGCCCGCCUCUACUGCCCUUCCGUUGCACAGCACAGGCACAGCCACCGUGUGUGUGUGCGUGUGCGUGUGGUGGCGCCGGCGGCCGGCCUCACUGCCGGAACUCGGAAGGGGAGGGGAUCCGCGGCUGCAUCUAUCUCCCCGACGAUCUCCAUCCGUCCACCCUCCACACCGGCGCCGGCCGUUGCCAUUGCGAGCGUUUCUGAGGAUGGCCUCUUCCUGCUUCCCCUUUGCUGCCCAACGCAGAAAUCCGCCCAAUGUGUAUGAUUCCUUCCUUCCUUCCUUCCAUCGCUAUGUAUAUUGCUCCAAUAUAAAUCUAGCCAGUUCUUUAUUCUCCUCCUCCUCCUCCUACUGGUACCUAUCUAUCCCAAGGAAAGGAAGACGGAAUCACGGAAUUCCUUUAUUUUUCCUUUCCCUCCCAGAAAAACAAGCAAGCUCUUGUCUUGUCUUGUGUAGAUGAUGAUCUAAUCUGACUUCAGUUAUAUUAUACAUUAAUUAUAUACUGUGUUUAUUCUGAAUUGAAUUUUCAUUUCUGCAGGUUGAGUAGGGAACCCAAGCUUCGUCCCAACAUACGGAAACUCUCCAUUUUUCUGUGGACUCUAGUCUAACUGUUGCGCCAUUGAUUCAGGUUAGUAACGUGUUUUUGGGUCAAACUGUCUAUGAGUACCAAUUUAUAUUACAUUACUAGUCCAUGUAUGCCCGUGUGAUAUGUAGCCCUCACGCACACAGUUUCACUGAUUCUUUGGUAAAAGUUUUCUUUUUAACUGAAUGUUUACGUAAAUGUAGGCAUAGCAUAAACAAGAGAAAAUAAGGUCCCCAAGCACAAACAUUGACCAUGCGGUUGGUUCUUCCCACCCCCCACUAGCGUAAAUGCUAUUAGUUAAACUAUUCAAGCGCGCACUAAUCUUCCAACCACCAAACCAGGUAUAACCAGCAGACUGUAAACUGCUUAUGACACUUGGAGCAGUCCUGGAAUAAAGCCACCAACCACUUUGGCAGCAACAGCUUACGAAUAUGUUUGAUUAGUUAAUUUGUUCGUAGGCACUUGGUCUAUAAAAAUAAAAGGGCAGCCUAAAAAAUGAGUCCUAGAUUAGGAAAGUAAGGGAGAAACAAAAUAUAAUCCACUUAAUUAGGUUACUCAGAGCCUCCUCCUUGACCAGGUUUACUGUCAAACAUACCAAUAUGGCAGAGUCGCAAAGCCAGCUGUUUUAUGCAAACCUGAAGAUUAUGCUUACCCUAGCCAAUCGAUCUACCACAUCAUCACUCUUGUCAACAGCACUAACAAAUAGGGGCAGAGUCACAAAGCCAGCUGUUUUAGGCUCCUAUGCCCAUGCAGAAUCAUUGCUAGGUAGGGAAAUGUAUAACUAAACCACAGAAUUCUGUAUUCUUUCUGAAUGUUUUAUAUCAUUUCUCAUGCUUGAUACAAUUCUGUUAGUUUGAUUUUUUUUUCCUGCGGUAGAGGACCUGAUUUAUUGUCUACUGAGUUCUCUGUUGCACUCGAAAUAUGCUUACUGGAUGGUAGAAAAGGAGCAACUGACGUGUGGAGCAUGUUGAUUGUACUUGCGAGCUAAGAAGAGUUGUUUUUUAUCUAAAAAAAAGAAACAGUUGUUUAGCUGUUCGCUUGUGCUUAUUUGCCGAAUCUGUCAGCCAUUCAGUAAUGUUUUUCUCUCACAACAAAUCAGCGAACAGUACUUUCAGCCAUGGCUUAUCAGCCAAGCGAACUUGAGUGCCGGCAUGGUUUGAGACUCGGUGGGAAACAACUCCUUACUAGUUUAUGCUGGAUUGCCUACCUGCCAGCAGCUGUUUGACCGUUCUUAAAUUCCCUGGUUUAAGCAAAGAUCCCACUUAGAGAAGCAAAGGUGAUUUAAGCUAAAAACUAUGCUGGUGACCUGACCAAUUGCAGAUCUUUUUCUUGAGGUCGUCUUCUUGUUUUUAUUCCAGAAUUCUUUACUAAGCCAAGGAUAUGGACUCUCAUUGUGUCAUUUGUUGACUUGUUUUUUUUUCUUUUUCUAGACAAUUUAGAAUUAAUGGUAGUUCUUUCCAGUAACACUGUUAACAUUGCAUUGACAUGUUUAUGGCUUUAUCCAAUCCAAUGAAUCAGAUUCAGGGGCUCCAAUUGAUUUAUCGUGUCUAGUUGUCAUUGAAUGAAGGAAAUCAAAACUUUUGCCGACUCUAGAUGAUCUAUAGGAACCCUGCUAUUAGUUAUACACUCCAGUUGUUAUGCUUGGUGAUUUUAGACUAUUAUUUUUUUUUAAAAAAAAACUAGGACUAGAUGACUUGUACAGAUGUAGUACAUUCUAACGAUCCAAUUGCGGAUUUAGAACUGCUGAAGCGUUGAACCUGAAUUAAAAUAAACAUUCCCUUGUUCCGUGAAGCUUCGUAUACAUUGCUUUUGUUUCUGAUGAGCUGCACUAUUUGUUUAUUGUGUUGUACUAGGUUGGCGAAGGGGAGGAGUAGCUUGUAGAUGCAACCUCGGAGGAAGUAUGGGAAUCAAUCUGAGGUGAGCGUGGCUGCAAUGCCGCUUGGCUGUCAGUUAACAAGCAUAUGGUCAGCAGGUAGGAGUAUAUACUACAUGGGUUAACCAAAAACAAAUCAGCCGAAUCUGCCAGUCAUUCUUCAGCAGUGUUUUUCUCCAUGGCUUAUCAGCCAAAAGAACAAGAGGGUUUGAUCACUUUGGCAGUGACUGUCGCCAAGCAUUUCAGUUCUUUUCAGUCAGCGCUGCAUGCAAUUCCAGUUCAUCUGCUAUCUCCCAGAUGGCUGGAUUGAGAGACGGACGGCCCCCUUCUUGGAUUUUUUUUUUUGGGGGGUUUGUUGGUGGAAAGAGCAUUGGACUGGUGGCGA